RNAcentral lists this long non-coding RNA (617 nucleotides) under Homo sapiens (human). RNAcentral's name for it is "non-protein coding lnc-ZNF705D-2:54". Lineage: Eukaryota; Metazoa; Chordata; Mammalia; Primates; Hominidae. The record is from RNAcentral.
AUCAAAUACUUUUUAAGCGCCUACCAUGUGCCUGACAAGGGAGAUGUAACGGUGAGAAAAACUAGGUGUGGUCCAGGCCCUUCAGGGGCUCAGGUGCUCGUGGAAGAAGUGGACAUUGAAGUACUUAUCACACAAAUGAGGAUAAAAGUACGAUAGCGAUAUCUACCACGAAGCUGUUGUUCCCCACCAGAACCAAAUGAGCGCAAGAUCUGACAAAGAAAAAAAAAGGUUCAUCUUUUAUUCCUCCAAACACUUUCAUUUAAAUCAAGAGGAUGGGAUGUGGUUAUUGCUGUGUUUUUAGACAGAAUCAACGGUUUCUGGGUCUGAGAUGUUGCAUACACCUUCUCAGUCCCUGUAUCCUGAGAUGGAGUCACCUGAGAAUCCACAGCAAGUCCUAACCAGGGAUGGGUCUGGGUGAUUAAGGAAGGUUGGCUUCAGAACUGGGCCAGGGGCACUGCUUUGCUUUUGCUGUUUUGAUCAGCUCUCUGCCUGAAGGAGACAAGAAAAACCAACGGGAACAGCUGGGGAAACUGAGUUACAGAGCUUGUCUGCACUGAGUCAUCAGGAGCAAAUGCUAGAUCAGGUAAUUGAACCCAAGCAAUCUGGUUCCAGAGCCA